UCAUUUCAGCGGACUACAGCAGCGUCCGUCGGACCAUCAGCUCAGUCUCAUCACUCGAUGCAGUUUUGAGGAAUCAUAGCACCUACAUAGAUUUAUUGCUCUCCAAGUUAUGCACGUGACCAAAACAAUGACCUGUUGUUAUUUUUGGCACUCUUAUCUGCGCUGAAUCCCUAAAUAUUGUGAGCAUCAUCUCAGGGAACGGACUCUGGCGGAGCGCAGGACGGGAUGGGAUCGCAACAGCGCGUUUAGGAAACGGCAAUGGCAAGUUUAAACGUUCAUGGAAUGCGGAUGCUGGCUAAAAAACACGCAAAGGACGGCUUUAAAUGAAGUUUAAAAAGUAAUAAUCUGCAGUAAUUCAAUAAUCGGCUGUGAAUGAACUGCUCUGUCAGUGGCGGACUGUUAAUUCUUCACAUUAAGCAGCGCUGGCUCUUCGGGCACAAUGAAAUCCCUCUUCUACACGCGCUUUUUCAUCCUUCUUCCGUGGAUCUUGAUAGUGAUCAUCGUGAUCGACAUCGAUACGAAGAGGCUGUCUGUUCGGAACACGGCCAGCUUUUAUUUGUCUCGGCUGGGAAAUGCGCAGCAGCGGCAGGUCGUCAGGACGACUCGCACCAGCAGCAGCAGCACCAGCACCAGCAGCAGGAGUAACGCCACAUCUCUCCCGGUCAUUUAUGCCAUCACUCCUACUUACAGCCGAGCGGUGCAGAAAGCAGAGCUCACCCGCUUGGCAAAUACGUUCCGCCAGGUUCCGCAGUUCCACUGGAUCGUUGUAGAGGAUUCUAACUCCCACACGGAGCUGGUUUCUCGGUUUCUCGCCCGCUCUGGGCUGCGAUACACUCACCUGAACGUGUUCACCCCGCGCAGGUUCAAGCGGACAGGGAUGCCCCGAGCGACCGAGCAGAGGAACUUAGCGCUCGGCUGGCUGAGAGGACAUCUCUCGUUCAAAGAUAAAGGAGUCGUUUUCUUCGCGGAUGAUGAUAACACUUACAGCCUUGAGUUAUUUGAAGAGAUGCGGUCAACCAGGAGAGUGUCAGUGUGGCCAGUGGGACUUGUUGGAGGCCGGAGGUACGAGCGGCCCUUGGUGGAAAAGGGGAAAGUGGUCGGCUGGUACACUGGUUGGAAGGCGGACAGGCCGUUUGCAAUUGACAUGGCUGGCUUUGCAGUGAACCUUCAGGUGAUCCUGUCAAACCCACGUGCCCUGUUCAAGAGAAGAGGAGCCAAACCAGGGAUGCAAGAGUCUGAUUUCCUCAAACAGAUCACUAAGGUGGAGGACUUGGAGCCAAAGGCCAAGAACUGUACCCAGAAGCCAAAACAAGGUAUUGAAGAGGGGAGAUAGGAUCUAGAGGAGCAGGGUGACAGAGUGCCUUCUCUUAUUCCUGGAUCGCUCGAAGUGGGGUUUCACUCUGUACAAACUGAAAUCUGUCUAUCUGAGUAUUUAACAAGAGUCCUGGUCUGGCAUACCCGCACUGAGAAGGUCAACCUGGGUAACGAACCAAAGCGGCAACAAGACUCGGUCUAUAUAGAGGUCUAGCGAGCAACACUGCACUAAGACUGUCAUAUAACACUGGAUGAAGGCCCGCCAUCAUCAGCACUUUCCAAACUGAUGGCCACCUUUGAACUUUACCUGGAUACCUGCUCUGGUGGAAAGGAUAUGCCAAGUUGUCUUGGGAUUCUCUACUGACACACACUGUAUCUGCCGGAGCUUCUCACAGUGGCGUCACACUGGAUUACCUGUAACAUGGUAGAGUAGAAACCAUGAAACCAAGGGGUUUUCAAAUGGCAACUGUAUGUGAAAACUUGAUCUUAUUCCCAAUGCGGUAGUCAACUACCAUUUUCAGACUCUGGACACUCAGAGAAUCGGAUCAAUGUCUGUGAAUGGAGAAAAAAGGACCAGCUGCUUGAAUAAUGUACAAAGAGGUUGAGCGGUGCUGAAGAGAAUCGCCAAAUCCAUGAAAAUAAAAGGAACAGUGGAUGGAAAAACCCUGGAAAUACCGUCUAAAGUGUGAGACAUCAUUACAAGGACAAAACUUUUGGAUUACAACUGUCUUUAUUCCAAACGACCCUCUUUAAAAGCAAAAAAAAAAAAGAAAA
This is an RNA transcript of Cyprinus carpio (common carp), 2088 nucleotides long. It is a transcript of the gene named galactosylgalactosylxylosylprotein 3-beta-glucuronosyltransferase 2, with no coding region annotated. The record is from RefSeq and is a predicted model, not a curated record. Lineage: Eukaryota; Metazoa; Chordata; Actinopteri; Cypriniformes; Cyprinidae.